RNAcentral lists this ribosomal RNA (687 nucleotides) under uncultured fungus. RNAcentral's name for it is "SSU rRNA". It matches the Rfam family "Eukaryotic small subunit ribosomal RNA", at positions 260 to 954 of the family's 1831-position model. The record is from RNAcentral. Lineage: Eukaryota; Fungi.
CGAAUCGCAUGGCCUUGUGCCGGCGAUGGUUCAUUCAAAUUUCUGCCCUAUCAACUUUCGAUGGCAGGGUCUUGGCCUGCCAUGGUUACAACGGGUAACGGAGGGUUAGGGCUCGACCCCGGAGAAGGAGCCUGAGAAACGGCUACUACAUCCAAGGAAGGCAGCAGGCGCGCAAAUUACCCAAUCCCGAUUCGGGGAGGUAGUGACAAUAAAUACUGAUACAGGGCUCUUUUGGGUCUUGUAAUUGGAAUGAGUACAAUUUAAAUCCCUUAACGAGGAACAAUUGGAGGGCAAGUCUGGUGCCAGCAGCCGCGGUAAUUCCAGCUCCAAUAGCGUAUAUUAAAGUUGUUGCAGUUAAAAAGCUCGUAGUUGAACCUUGGGCCUGGCUGGCCGGUCCGCCUCACCGCGUGCACUGGUUCGGCCGGGCCUUUCCCUCUGGGGAGCCUCAUGCCCUUCACUGGGUGUGUUGGGGAACCAGGACUUUUACUGUGAAAAAAUUAGAGUGUUCAAAGCAGGCCUAUGCUCGAAUACAUUAGCAUGGAAUAAUAGAAUAGGACGUGUGGUUCUAUUUUGUUGGUUUCUAGGACCGCCGUAAUGAUUAAUAGGGACAAGUCNGGGGCAUUAGUAUUCAAUUUGUCAGAAGGUGAAAUUCUUGGAUUUAUUUGAAAACUAACUUCUGCGAAACNU